UACGUAGGUGGCAAGCGUUGUCCGGAUUUAUUGGGUUUAAAGGGUGCGUAGGCGGCCGAUUAAGUCAGUGCUGAAAUACUCUAGCUUAACUAGAGGGGUGGCAUUGAUACUGAUUGGCUUGAGUGAAGUCGAGGUAGGCGGAAUUGACGGUGUAGCGGUGAAAUGCUUAGAUAUCGUCAAGAACACCGAUAGUGAAGACAGCUUACUAGACUUCAACUGACGCUGAGGCACGAAAGUGUGGGGAUCGAACAGG
RNAcentral lists this ribosomal RNA (253 nucleotides) under uncultured bacterium. RNAcentral's name for it is "partial 16S ribosomal RNA". It matches the Rfam family "Bacterial small subunit ribosomal RNA", at positions 524 to 776 of the family's 1533-position model. The record is from RNAcentral.